This 645-nucleotide long non-coding RNA is filed under the name Homo sapiens (human). Its description in RNAcentral is "non-protein coding lnc-FAM160B1-2:1". The record is from RNAcentral. Lineage: Eukaryota; Metazoa; Chordata; Mammalia; Primates; Hominidae.
GCAUACAAGCACAUCCAGGAGCUAUGCAGGAAGAAGCAGUGUGAUGUCAUGCACUUUCUUUUGAGGGUCCACUGCUGGCAGUACUGCCAGCUCUCUGCUGUCCACAGGGCUCACCGCCCCACCAGGCUCCACCGCAGCAGGCCUCAUAAAGCUGGCUGACUGCGCUACAAGGCCAAGCAAGGUUAUGUUAUAUGUAGGAUUCGUGUGCGCCGUGGUGGCCAAAAACGCCCAGUUCCAAGGGUGCAACUUACAGCAAGCCUGUCCAUCACGGUGUUAACCAGCUAAAGUUUGCCCGAAACCUUCAGUCUGUUGCAGAGGAGCGAGCCGGAUGCCACUGUGGGGCUCUAAGAGUCCUGAAUUCUUACUGGGUUGGUGAAGAUUCCACAUACAAAUUUUCUGAGGUUAUCCUCAUUGAUCCAUUCCAUAAAGCCAUCGGAAGAAAUCCUGACACCCAGUGGAUCACCAAACCAAUCCACAAGCACAGGGAGAUGUGUGGGCUGACAUCUGCAGGCCAAAAGAGCCGUGGCCUUGGAAAGGGCCAUAAGUUCCACCACACUGUUGGUGGUUCUCGCCGUGCAGCGUGGAGAAGACACAAUACUCUCCAGCUCCACCGUUACUGCUGAUAUAAGUAAAGUUUGUAAAAUU